GUCGAGAAUCUUUCACAAUGGGGGCAACCCUGAUGGAGCGACGCCGCGUGGAGGAUAAGGUCUUCGGAUUGUAAACUCCUGUCAUGCGUGAACAAGGGUGCUUGGAUAAUACCUGGGCAAAUUGAUGGUAACGCAAGAGGAAGAGACGGCUAACUCUGUGCCAGCAGCCGCGGUAAUACAGAGGUCUCAAGCGUUGUUCGGAAUCACUGGGCGUAACGGGUGCGUAGGUGGCGUUGUAAGUCAGAUGUGAAAGCCAGGGGAUCAACCUCGGAACUGCAUCCGAUACUGCCAUGCUAGAGUACUGGAGAGGUGACUAGAAUUCUCGGUGUAGCAGUGAAAUGCGUAGAUAUCGAGAGGAAUACCAAAGGCGUAGGCAGGUCACUGGACAGUUACUGACACUGAGGCACGAAGGCCAGGGGAGCGAACGGGAUUAGAUACCCGGGUAGUCC
RNAcentral lists this ribosomal RNA (449 nucleotides) under uncultured bacterium. RNAcentral describes it as "partial 16S ribosomal RNA". It matches the Rfam family "Bacterial small subunit ribosomal RNA", at positions 354 to 796 of the family's 1533-position model. The record is from RNAcentral.